RNAcentral lists this unclassified non-coding RNA (1684 nucleotides) under Hevea brasiliensis (rubber tree). The record is from RNAcentral. Lineage: Eukaryota; Viridiplantae; Streptophyta; Magnoliopsida; Malpighiales; Euphorbiaceae.
AUAUAUUUGAAAGCUAUCUUCAUAGAUUCAAGCCAACAAACAAUCUCAUACUAUAACAAUACAAAUAUAUAACAGAAAAACUAAAUGACUGCAACUUUCAGCUGCUACCUAUUCAUCACUAUAUAACGUGCAUUACUAGCGAAAUUACGGUUUCUAAGAUGAUUACCAAUAUGUACAUAGAAUCUGAAUCUAAGCUGUUUGCAUCUGGAGAUGAUUGCUGGCAACACGUUCUUCUUGUUUCGUUGGUUGAUCAUCUGAAUCCAGUUCUGGUUGAUUAAGGUUCCGGACGAAUUGAGUGAAUGCAGGGAAAUGUUCAGGAGAAAAGAAAUCAGCACCCAUUCUUUGAUAUGUGAACAAGCUCAUUUCCUUUUCACUUGACAACAACUUCUUUAUCUGUUCGAAACCAUUUGGUGCAUUUGCAACCAUUGAGUUUUGCCCUAAGAUUUCCACUCCGUGCUUUCUGCAAGAUGAUGUAAUUUGAGCAACUAACAACUCUGGGCUCGAGAGAGAUUCAUUUGGCUGGUGAUUGUCCGAGAGAUCCAUCCCAGGCAAGAUAAGUUGGCACGAAUGCUUUGCAAACAUCUCAACGACUUCUACAUAACCAUCUCUGUUGGCUGUGUUAUAGAAACCGGCUGUUAGCUCGCUAGGAUGGGAUCGGGUUUUAUACCAAGAAUGCACAAGAGGAAGUUUGCCACAAAUGGAGAUAGGAACGUCAUGGAAUGUUUCAGUGGCAAGUGAAAGAAGUCGGCUUCCAUGAGAAAUGAGCUGCUCCGAGUACCAAGAAAGGAAAAAGUUACCAUAAGUUGUCUCCCAAGAUCCUUCAUUAUCCUUGAAGAAGGUGCUUGUCAUGGGUGGUUGAUCAGAACCAGGGGCAUCGUGUGGACCGCCCAAUCCCCACAGAGGAUUUCCAUUGCUCUCGGCAUACUGUUUGAGAGAACUCAGCAUGUAUUUAUCAUAACACUGAAACUCACCAGCUCCUUGAUGAUUGUUCAUUUUGGAUGGAUUGUGAUGAGAAGGAUAGCGAAGCUCGCCUUCUGGUCCUAGACCAAGGGAAACGCCCGUGAUUGUGGAGCCCAUGAACGGUGAAAAUGCAGUCUUGAAGCUCUCACAGAACUCUUUGUACACUUGAACCGGAGUCUUCCCAUCGAGGACAGGAACAUCAGUAACAGCAAAUGAAAGAGAAUCCUUAUAGUGUUGUCCUGAUUGGUCCUUAAAGAAGAUACUAGGAUCAGAUUCACCAAUCUGAGAAACCCAUUCUGGGAGUUGAAUUUUGGCUUCCUUUGAUGCAUGGAAGGAAAGUGACACAUGAAGCUUAAGUCCCAACUUUUGGAUCAUUUCAGCAAGUGCAAGGUAGCCUGUCCAGUCAUACUUUCCCCUGGUUUCCUUCUCAACAACUCCCCACCAGACGGGGAGUUCUAUGCCAUCUACACCUAGUAACUUCAAUGCUUUUAAUCCAGCUGCAAUUGCUCUAGCAUGGUUUAUUGUAUUACUACUUGAAACAGCAUCAAGUGGCAACCCAACAAAUAGUUUCACACCAUCACUCGUCUUAGUUUCUCUGUUAUUCUUCAAUAUGAGUGGUUCAGGUUGCGAACAAGCAGAUGCUUUCAAACUAAACCUAUUCAAAGACUUGGAACGCAAUUUUAUACACAAUUUCGAACUUUUCAAAGAAGAUGAAGAAGAAGAG